GAGUUAGGGUCUUUCAGGCCCGACCUCCCAACCCUUUGUCUACAGAACCUCUGUUGCUUCGGCGGACCCGUCUCACGACCGCCGGAGGACCGCCGCAGGGCAUCCUCUGGUCAGCGUCCGUCGAUAGCCAAAUUUAAACUCUGAAUGAAUCGUGUCAUAUAUGUCUAAGUCUAUGAUUAAAUAAAGCAAAACUUUCAACAACGGAUCUCUUGGUUCU
Molecule: unclassified non-coding RNA, 217 nt
Filed under: rhizosphere metagenome
Description: partial ribosomal RNA internal transcribed spacer region
Source: RNAcentral